UUUGCAUGUAAAACUUUGAUCCCUAUUGUGGCCCCAACCUACUCCCGGGGGCCAUGAUUUUUACAAAAUUUAAUCUGCACUAUGUCAUGAAGCUUUCAUGAAAAUGUAAACUUCCUUGGCCAGUGAUUUUUAAUGAUUUUCCCUGUAUAUUUGUAUGUAAAAUUUUGAUCCCCAACUGUGGUCCCAUCUUACCCCCGAGGACCAUGAUUUUUACAAACUUCAAUCUGCACUAUGUCAGGAAGGUUUUGUGCAAAUGUAAACUUCUUUAGCCUAAUGGUUCUUAAGGUAAGGCCAUCAUUAAAAAAUUUUUUGUUUGAUGUACUCCGAACCACAUUUUUCAAGUCGGGUAGGUAGGUCGGUAUUAUUUUUUUUUUUUUUGAAAAUCAAAGUUACAAAUUUUCUUAUGUUUUCAUUUAAAACACAUAACGCUGCCAGACUGAAUAGAGUUUAGAACAUUCAUUUUGUACACAUUGUAUAUAAUACACGUAAAUCUUCCAGUGUCUCCUGAAAUUUACUCAGGACGUUUUGCAUUCGUCACGGAUGAGGACCUCUACAGUUGUUAAUAAAUAAAUUAACACCCCUUUUUGUUACCACCGGUCGAUUCCGACAUUUAUAAUAGCAAUCACUUAAACACUUUAAUGUGAUCCAUGAAUAUCCAAGUGAAUUGCAUGAUGACAGCAAUUUACAAUAAGUUUUAAUAUUACCCAAUAUAAUUUUAAUGCAUGUCUGACUUUCCAGACUUUCCAACAUCAUUCAAAUUGUUGUGACGAUCGUGUUCCAUUCGUGUGUCUCAGUUUAAGAGCAAAGUAAAAGUGCCGUUCACCUAUUAAAUGAGGAACCGGAGUCGGUUAUCUUAUCUUGUAUUGAUAGAGAGCGCCACAGGCAAAUCUGGCCCUGAACAAAAAAAAAAGAUAAAUGUUGAAAAGAUGGGUUAUCAGCAACCAUUCUCGAAUGCGAUUUCAGAAAACACAAACACUACCUUUUACUUACGAUGGCAUCCAGUUGUGGUCAUAUGACAAUACCUGAACUUAGGAAAGAGUUAGAAAAGUUUGGAGCAAAGAAAUUGGGAAGAAAGUGGUAACUUGUAAGAAGACUUAAUUGAAGCAUAUAGAAGAAAUGAACAUCUUGCAAGGACCGAUAUUUCUGGACCUGAAUUUAUUAUGUCACCCGAUCCACAACUCUACAGGGACCUUCAUUGUGAUAAGAGCUUUUCAAAUUAAAAGGAAUGCCAAAUUCAUUGACGAGAUGAAGAGAAAUUUUAAUGAAUUUUAUGAAAGAUAUUUUAAGUCUGCUCUGUUAGAGAAAACGUUUUUCAAGACAUACGAUGGUAAAUGUACAUGGAAUAAAUGUUUAAAAAAUUAAAUAAA
Ostrea edulis (European flat oyster) is the source of this 1367-nucleotide long non-coding RNA. RefSeq lists it as uncharacterized. Lineage: Eukaryota; Metazoa; Mollusca; Bivalvia; Ostreida; Ostreidae. The transcript has 2 exons. The record is from RefSeq and is a predicted model, not a curated record.